CUGGUGCUAGUUUUUCUUUAUAUGAUGUCUGCUUUCAUUCUGUUUAUGACUUUUUAAUAUUAUAUGCACAUUGACUGAAAGUAACAAAGAGAAAAGGUUUGCCAUUUGCCAGUUUGUGGUUUGUUGCAAAUUUCUUAACAUCUGUCUAGCCAUUCCUCAUUUGUAAAAUGUGGAUGAUAAUAGUACCUACCUCAUGGGAUUGUUAUGAGGAUUAAGUGAGUUAAUAUUUCUGAAAUGCAUAAAACAGUGCCUGGCACAUUGUAUUAUACAAGUGUCUCUUACCAGCCAGCAUAUCCUUUAUAUGCUGAGUGAAAAAAAUAAUUCCAGAUAUGAAUAUAGUCUGAGACUAUAUGAUACCCACAUCAUCUUAGCAAAAUACAUUGCCCCAAAAGGACUCAAACUGGACUAAGAAAGAAACCAAAACUAAUUAACUAAUUUUAUCUUGUAGAUGGGUUUUUUUGUUUUGUUUUUUAAUGUUCAAUACCUGACCUUUUUUUUUUCCCUUGAAGGUAUAUGGGGUUCUUUUUCUCUCUUUUACCUCUCACACCUUUUUUAUUUUUUGUUUUUUUAGUCUAGAAACUUUUUGGUGCUGGGGAUUGAACCCAGGGCCUUGUGCAUGCAAGGCAAGCACUGUACCAACUGAGCUAUAUCCCCAGCCCCUAGUCUAGAAACUUGUAUGAUUUUUAUCCUCAGAAUACAGAGUUUUAUGAAGCUAUGUCUAGGUGUGCAUAUUUUCUCUAACAAUCCUAACUAGGAUUUAGUGAACCCCUUCAAUCUGGAGAUUUAAGUUUUCUUUCUUUACUUAUUACUAUUCCUUCAUCUAAAUUUCCUUAAAAUCUCUUGGCACUCUUGAGAUUUUUUUUUUUUUUUUAAUGAGAAAUGUCCUUGGACCUGCCCUUGGCAUUUUCUUUUCAUCUUUUCUCUCAUGAGAUCCAUUUUACGUGUUGGCUAAGUGUUUUAAGAUUGACCUUUACUUGUUUUUAAAAUCUAAUUGCAAUCUAAAUAAUGACCUUUCUUUGCCUCAACUUAUCUACUUACUUUAUAAUUCAAAACUGAUGAUUUACAGUGUGCACACCUAUAAUCCCAGCUACUCAGGAGUCUAAGGCAGGAGUAUCACAAGUUCAAGGCCAGCCUGGGCAGCUUAGUGAGCCUGUCUCAAAGUGAAAAAUUAAAAGAGCUGGGAAUGUAGCUCCUGGUAGAACGCCCCUGGAUUCAAUCCCCUCUAUGGCAAAAAAACCAAAUGAAACAAAACAAAACACUCCAAAGUUUGCAAUUUGUUUUUCAGGUUUCCUUAAGCACUUUUUUCUGUUUGUUUAAAGUGGCUUCUUUGUCCUCCAGUGGUUCUGUUUCAAGAGGUGUUUUGCAGUUGUGGGUUCUCUGCUUAUUCCUCCUCACUCUGGCUGUUAUUUAGGCACCUUGUUUCCAUUUGCUCAGGGCUGAUGUCCUUCUGCUGGGGUACCUCUGAGGCACCAUUGUUUUCUGUCUCAGGGUGCAUUGUUACCCAGGCCAGAAAUCGGUCUGUCCACAAUUGAAAACACUUGGCUCCCUGGGCUCCUCAGUCUGGGAGAGGAUGGAAAGGAUUCAAUCUUUCGGUUCUCCACUGAUCCCCAAGGGCCAAAGAUAUAAAAAGGAGUGCUCGUGAGAUCCUGUAUGAACUUGGGUUAGUGAGUGACUCCAGUUAGUGACACCAGUCCUCAUCCCAAGACUCUUACUCUCUUUAUGGUCCCCAUCUUUCUUGGGACCUGGAGGGGAGAGUCCUGAGUUUCCUCUAUUUAGAGCUGGAAGGCCACCUGAGACUCCAUACCUGCCUACUGCCAGUCUGGGAGAAGUGGUUGGUAUUUGGGUUGAAAUUGAGUGAGCAACAAGAACACAUUCCCACAGCUAUUUUCUUUUGGUAUAGGGGAUUGAACCCAGGAGGGCUUUACUACUGAGCUACAUCCCCAGCCCUUUUUAUUUUACUUAUUUAUUUAUUUUUUGAGAUGGUCUCACAAGUUGCUUAGGGCCUUCCUAAAUUUCUGAGACUGGCCUUAAACUUUAGAUCCUCUUGCCUCAGCCUCCCUGGUUGCUGGGAUUACAGACACAUGCCACCCAGCCCAGCCCCAAUACCUUUUUCUCAGAAAUCUCACUUUGAGCUCUUCAUUUUGGGUUCUUUGGUAGAAAUCUCUGACUUUUUCUAGCAGGAUUCAUAUAUGAUACAAUUUAUCAGUCUUUGGAUAUCGCAGAUUAUUCUUUGUUUUAUUUUACAUGUUAAAGAAAUUACAAAUAGUUACAAAUGGUAUACAAUCUUGGAUUAUAGUAUUUUUCUUUGAAACUUUAUAGAUUACUUUAUAUAUUGCUUAAUUAUAUUUGAUCUUUAAAGUUGCAAGUCACAGCCCACCCUUAAGGUUUACAGGACCCAAGAUGAUUUCAAAUGAAGAUCCGCAUACAGUAUGUUUAAAAUGUCUUAAUCAGGCUAACAAAUACAUUCCAUUUUCCUACUUUGGCAAAUAAAUUUUUAUUACAGUAAUAUUGAAAAAGCUAUGUAACAUGAUUUCUAUACAACAAAGUGUAAAAUAUCAGAUGACUGAAUUUAUUGCACAUAUGUGGGUGUUCAACGGCAAUUUUGGGGUGAGUAAAGACAUAUAUCCUUGAUUAUUUCUGUUUCUUUUGUUCAGUUCACUUUCAGAAACCCUGCUUAUUUUGAUUCUAUCAGUUAUAUAUUUAGCUAUC
RNAcentral lists this long non-coding RNA (2709 nucleotides) under Marmota monax (woodchuck). The record is from RNAcentral. Lineage: Eukaryota; Metazoa; Chordata; Mammalia; Rodentia; Sciuridae.